GCCGCUAUAGCUCAGUGGUAGAGCGCAUCAUUGGUAAUGAUGAGGUCAGGAGUCCGAUUCUCCUUAGUGGCACCA
Molecule: transfer RNA, 75 nt
Filed under: Orientia tsutsugamushi
Lineage: Bacteria; Pseudomonadati; Pseudomonadota; Alphaproteobacteria; Rickettsiales; Rickettsiaceae
Also listed under: 1 other name
Description: tRNA-Thr(ggt)
Rfam family: tRNA
About the family: Transfer RNA (tRNA) molecules are approximately 80 nucleotides in length. Their secondary structure includes four short double-helical elements and three loops (D, anti-codon, and T loops). Further hydrogen bonds mediate the characteristic L-shaped molecular structure. tRNAs have two regions of fundamental functional importance: the anti-codon, which is responsible for specific mRNA codon recognition, and the 3' end, to which the tRNAs corresponding amino acid is attached (by aminoacyl-tRNA synthetases). tRNAs cope with the degeneracy of the genetic code in two manners: having more than one tRNA (with a specific anti-codon) for a particular amino acid; and 'wobble' base-pairing, i.e. permitting non-standard base-pairing at the 3rd anti-codon position.
Source: RNAcentral